Molecule: ribosomal RNA, 253 nt
Filed under: uncultured bacterium
Lineage: Bacteria
Description: partial 16S ribosomal RNA
Rfam family: Bacterial small subunit ribosomal RNA
Source: RNAcentral
GACGAACCGUCCAAACGUUAUUCGGAAUCACUGGGCUUACAGAGUUCGUAUGCGGUCUGGAAAGUUGGGUGUGAAAUCCCUCGGCUCAACCGAGGAACUGCGCUCGAUACUGCCAGACUCGAGGAAGAUAGAGGAAAGCGGAACUGAUGGUGGAGCGGUGAAAUGUGUUGAUAUCAUCAGGAACACCGGUGGCGAAGGCUGCUUUCUGGGUCAUUCCUGACGCUGUGUAACGAAAGCCAGGCGGGCGAUGUGG